Molecule: ribosomal RNA, 254 nt
Filed under: uncultured bacterium
Lineage: Bacteria
Description: partial 16S ribosomal RNA
Rfam family: Bacterial small subunit ribosomal RNA
Source: RNAcentral
UGGGGAAUAUUGGACAAUGGAGGCAACCCUGAUCCAGCAAUGCCGCGUGUGUGAAGAAGGUUUUCGGAUUGUAAAGCACUUUCGACGGGGACGAUGAUGACGGUACCCGUAGAAGAAGCCCCCGGCUAACUUCGUGCCAGCAGCCGCGGUAAUACGAAGGGGGCUAGCGUUGCUCGGAAUGACUGGGCGUAAAGGGCGUGUAGGCGGUUUGUACAGUCAGAUGUGAAAUCCCCGGGCUUAACCUGGGAGCUGCA